This 412-nucleotide ribosomal RNA is filed under the name uncultured bacterium. RNAcentral describes it as "bacterial SSU rRNA". It matches the Rfam family "Bacterial small subunit ribosomal RNA", at positions 100 to 507 of the family's 1533-position model. The record is from RNAcentral.
CACGGGUGAGUAACGCGUACAUGACCUGCCCUAUACUGGGGGGAUAGUCUUGGGGAAACUGAGAUAAUCCCGCAUGUGAUUAGAAUGCUGCAUGGCAAAUUAAUUAAAGCUGAGGCGGUAUAGGAUGGGGUGUGCGUCUGAUUAGCUAGUUGGUAGUGUAACGGACUACCAAGGCGAUGAUCAGUAGGGGGCGUGAGAGCGUGACCCCCCCACACGGGGUACUGAGACACGGACCCGACUCCUACGGGAGGCAGCAGUAAGGAAUAUUGGUCAAUGGAGGGAACUCUGAACCAGCCAUCCCGCGUGAAGGAUGAAGGGGCUCUGCCUUGUAAACUUCUUUUGCAUGGGACGAAAAAACUUAAUUUAUUAAGGACUGACGGUACCAUGAGAAUAAGCACCGGCUAACUCCGUG